UAGGGAAUCUUAGGCAAUGGACGAAAGUCUGACCGAGCAACGCCGCGUGAGUGAAGAAGGUUUUCGGAUCGUAAAACUCUGUUGUUAGAGAAGAACAAGGACGUUAGUAACUGAACGUCCCCUGACGGUAUCUAACCAGAAAGCCACGGCUAACUACGUGCCAGCAGCCGCGGUAAUACGUAGGUGGCAAGCGUUGUCCGGAUUUAUUGGGCGUAAAGCGAGCGCAGGCGGUUUCUUAAGUCUGAUGUGAAAGCCCCCGGCUCAACCGGGGAGGGUCAUUGGAAACUGGGAGACUUGAGUGCAGAAGAGGGGAGGGGAAUUCCAUGUGUGGCGGUGAAAUGCGUGGAUUAAGGGAGAAACCCCAGUGGCGAGGGCGGCUCUCUGGUCUGUAACUGCCGCUGGGGCUGGAAAGCGUGGGGAGCAACAGG
This 428-nucleotide ribosomal RNA is filed under the name Gemmatimonadota bacterium. RNAcentral's name for it is "Gemmatimonadetes bacterium partial 16S ribosomal RNA". It matches the Rfam family "Bacterial small subunit ribosomal RNA", at positions 355 to 775 of the family's 1533-position model. Lineage: Bacteria; Pseudomonadati; Gemmatimonadota. The record is from RNAcentral.